AUGAUUGGAGUUGCUCCAGUAAAUCCAAUUUAUUUCAUCGUCACAAUCCAAGAACGGAGCACAAACACGUCUAGGAUUGCCAUGGCUAAAAUUCACCGAGUUGCAAUUCCGGUGAGGAGAGCAUCAAGCUGCCGCGUUAACGAAGGCCACGAUCCUGUCGAGCAUCUCCUUGGCCUUGUCGCAGUCGGGCUUGAAGAGGUAGAAGACGUGGCCCUCCCCGUCCGUCUCCAGCAUUUCCACUCCCUUGCCGGCGGCGGCCAGCGCCUCCGCGUACGCGCGGCCGCGCCACCUGAGGAAGUCGCCCUCCGCCGUGCACACCAUCACCCGCUCGCACGCCAGCGCCCCCAGCCCCGGCGCGCCGGGCGCCAUGGGGUUCAUCCGCGGGUCGUCCAUGCCGGUGGUGCCCGGGCACGCGAACAUCCAGAGCCCCGCGCCCCGGGCGCGCGCCGCGGGGUCGCGUGUCUCCUCCCCCACGGUCUCGGAGCCCCAGAACCAGGGGUGGAUCAGCACCGCGCCCCCGAGGCGCGCGGCGCCCGGCUGGAUGGCGACGUGGUGGCAGAUGUUGGCGCCGGCGCUGUCGCCGGCCACGAAGACGCGGUCGAGGUCGCCGUGCGCCGCGACCCAGGGGUCGGCCGCGGAGAGCACCCAGCGGAGCGCGUCGAGGCAGUCGUCGUAGGCCGCCGGGAGCGGGUGCUCCGGCGCGAGGCGGUAGUCGAGGGAGACGCCGAGGGCCGGGCAGGCGGAGGACAGAUCGUUGAGGAAGCGGUGGUAGUUGGGGGACUUUGCCGACUCGGCCACGAAGCCGCCGCCGUGGACGUAGACGAUGACGGGGAGCUUCGCCGCCGUGGCGGCCGCGGCGGAUGGGGGCAGGUAGAGGCGGGCGGAGUAGGCGCCGAGGUCGACGUCCUUGGACUGGACGCCGGUGGAGGGGUCGGGCCCUGGUGCGACGGGCGGGAGCACGAGGGGGCGCUCGAUGCGGCCGCUCUUGUAGACUCGGAGGAGCGGGCCGAACUCGUGCAUCAGCUCGUCGUCGGCGGCGGGUGCAGGUGCGGUGUUGGACGCCAUGCGCGCGCUCUCUCUCUCUCAGUGGCGAAUGCUCGGGGGGUGAGGGGAGCCGGCUGCUGUGUCUGUGUGUAA
This 1137-nucleotide ribosomal RNA is filed under the name Triticum aestivum (bread wheat). RNAcentral's name for it is "partial small subunit ribosomal RNA". The record is from RNAcentral. Lineage: Eukaryota; Viridiplantae; Streptophyta; Magnoliopsida; Poales; Poaceae.